CCCAGUGUUCAGACUACCUGUUCAGGAUCUUACUGGUGUACAGUAGUCUGCACAUUGGUUA
This 61-nucleotide microRNA precursor is filed under the name Haplochromis burtoni (Burton's mouthbrooder). Its description in RNAcentral is "microRNA abu-mir-199 precursor (abu-mir-199-1)". Its record names the gene abu-mir-199-1. It matches the Rfam family "mir-199 microRNA precursor family", at positions 12 to 71 of the family's 80-position model. Rfam says of the family: This family consists of the microRNA (miRNA) precursor mir-199 which appears to be specific to humans. The record is from miRBase by way of RNAcentral. RNAcentral also lists the same sequence under 1 other name. Lineage: Eukaryota; Metazoa; Chordata; Actinopteri; Cichliformes; Cichlidae.